This 1156-nucleotide ribosomal RNA is filed under the name uncultured bacterium. RNAcentral's name for it is "bacterial SSU rRNA". It matches the Rfam family "Bacterial small subunit ribosomal RNA", at positions 1 to 1136 of the family's 1533-position model. The record is from RNAcentral.
UAGAGUUUGAUCCUGGCUCAGAACGAACGCUGGCGGCGCGCUUAACACAUGCAAGUCGAACGGUCCCGAUAAAGCCGUAAGGUGAUAUCGGGGUAGUGGCAAACGGGUGAGUAAUACGUGGAUAAUCUACCUUUGAGUGGGGGAUAACUCUACGAAAGUGGAGCUAAUACCGCGUAAGACUACAGAAUCGCAUGAUUCAGUAGUAAAAGGCUUCGGUUUACCGGAGUCGCUUAAGGAUGAGUCCGCGCCUGAUUAGCUAGUUGGUAAGGUAAUAGCUUACCAAGGCAACGAUCAGUAGCCGGCCUGAAAGGGUGUUCGGCCACAUUGGAAUUGAGAUACGGUCCAGACUCCUACGGGAGGCAGCAGUGGGGAAUUUUGCGCAAUGGGGGAAACCCUGACGCAGUGACGCCGCGUGAACGAUGAAGUCCUUCGGGAUGUAAAGUUCUGUCAGGCGGGAAGAAUCUUUCCCCGAUGCAAAUCGGGGGAGAAUGACGGUACCGCCAGAGGAAGCACCGGCUAAUUCCGUGCCAGCAGCCGCGGUAACACGGAGGGUGCAAGCGUUGUUCGGAAUUACUAGGCGUAAAGAGCGUGUAGGUGGUUAGCUAAGUCGGAUGUGAAAAUCCCAAGCUUAACUUGGAACGUGCAUUCGAAACUGGUUAACUUGAGUGUAGGAGAGGAGAGCGGAAUUCCUAGUGUAGCGGUGAAAUGCGUAGAUAUUAGGAAGAACACCGGUGGCGAAGGCGGCUCUCUGGCCUAAAACUGACACUGAGACGCGAAAGCGUGGGUAGCGAACAGGAUUAGAUACCCUGGUAGUCCACGCCGUAAACGAUGGGCAUUAGGUGUAGGAGGUAUCCAAUCCUUCUGUGCCGAAGUUAACGCAUUAAAUGCCCCGCCUGGGGAGUACGACCGCAAGGUUGAAACUCAAAGGAAUUGACGGGGGCCCGCACAAGCGGUGGAGCAUGUGGUUUAAUUCGAUGCAACGCGAAGAACCUCACCUGGGCUUGACAUGUACUCGAAUGUGCCAGAAACGGUACAGUCCGAAAGGACGGGUACACAGGUGCUGCAUGGCUGUCGUCAGCUCGUGUCGUGAGAUGUUGGGUUAAGUCCCGCAACGAGCGCAACCCUCAUUCUUAGUUACCAUCGGGUAAUGCCGGGG